GCUCAGGACGAACGCUGGCGGCGUGCUUAAUACAUGCAAGUCGUACGCUUCUUUUUCCACCGGAGCUUGCUCCACCGGAAAAAGAAGAGUGGCGAACGGGUGAGUAACACGUGGGUAACCUGCCCAUCAGAAGGGGAUAACACUUGGAAACAGGUGCUAAUACCGUAUAACAAUCGAAACCGCAUGGUUUUGAUUUGAAAGGCGCUUUCGGGUGUCGCUGAUGGAUGGACCCGCGGUGCAUUAGCUAGUUGGUGAGGUAACGGCUCACCAAGGCYACGAUGCAUAGCCGACCUGAGAGGGUGAUCGGCCACAUUGGGACUGAGACACGGCCCAAACUCCUACGGGAGGCAGCAGUAGGGAAUCUUCGGCAAUGGACGAAAGUCUGACCGAGCAACGCCGCGUGAGUGAAGAAGGUUUUCGGAUCGUAAAACUCUGUUGUUAGAGAAGAACAAGGAUGAGAGUAACUGUUCAUCCCUUGACGGUAUCUAACCAGAAAGCCACGGCUAACUACGUGCCAGCAGCCGCGGUAAUACGUAGGUGGCAAGCGUUGUCCGGAUUUAUUGGGCGUAAAGCGAGCGCAGGCGGUUUCUUAAGUCUGAUGUGAAAGCCCCCGGCUCAACCGGGGAGGGUCAUUGGAAACUGGGAGACUUGAGUGCAGAAGAGGAGAGUGGAAUUCCAUGUGUAGCGGUGAA
This 692-nucleotide ribosomal RNA is filed under the name Enterococcus sp. RNAcentral describes it as "bacterial SSU rRNA". It matches the Rfam family "Bacterial small subunit ribosomal RNA", at positions 22 to 685 of the family's 1533-position model. The record is from RNAcentral. Lineage: Bacteria; Bacillati; Bacillota; Bacilli; Lactobacillales; Enterococcaceae.